RNAcentral lists this ribosomal RNA (253 nucleotides) under uncultured bacterium. RNAcentral describes it as "partial 16S ribosomal RNA". It matches the Rfam family "Bacterial small subunit ribosomal RNA", at positions 524 to 776 of the family's 1533-position model. The record is from RNAcentral.
UACGUAGGGUGCAAGCGUUAAUCGGAAUUACUGGGCGUAAAGCGUGCGCAGGCGGUUUUGUAAGUCUGUCGUGAAAGCCCGGGGCUCAACCCCGGGAUGCCGCCCAAGACUGGUCUCCUUGAGGACGGAAGAGGGGAGUGGAAUUCCUGGUGUAGCGGUGAAAUGCGUAGAGAUCAGGAGGAACACCCGUGGCGAAGGCGGCUCCCUGGUCCGUUUCUGACGCUGAGACGCGAAAGCGCGGGGAGCGAACGGG